GUAAUCCCGCCGAACCCCAUUCGUGAUGGGGAUCGGGGAUUGCAAUUAUUCCCCAUGAACGAGGAAUUCCCAGUAAGUGCGGGUCAUAAGCUUGCGUUGAUUAAGUCCCUGCCCUUUGUACACACCGCCCGUCGCUACUACCGAUUGGAUGG
Molecule: ribosomal RNA, 152 nt
Filed under: Capra hircus (goat)
Lineage: Eukaryota; Metazoa; Chordata; Mammalia; Artiodactyla; Bovidae
Description: partial 18S ribosomal RNA
Rfam family: Eukaryotic small subunit ribosomal RNA
Source: RNAcentral